This is a long non-coding RNA of Acanthochromis polyacanthus (spiny chromis), 150 nucleotides long. RefSeq lists it as uncharacterized. The transcript has 2 exons. The record is from RefSeq and is a predicted model, not a curated record. NCBI's taxonomy places the organism in Eukaryota, Metazoa, Chordata, Actinopteri, Pomacentridae.
GUACCUAACAGGAAUGGUAGACAAGAGGACCUUAGAAAAGUACGAGAGAGAAGCAAAGGAAAAGAACCGAGAAACCUGGUAUCUGUCCUGGGCUUUGGACACCAACCAAGAGGAGAGGGACAAAGGCAAGACGGUAGAGGUGGGCCGAGC